RNAcentral lists this ribosomal RNA (205 nucleotides) under uncultured bacterium. RNAcentral's name for it is "partial 16S ribosomal RNA". It matches the Rfam family "Bacterial small subunit ribosomal RNA", at positions 1296 to 1500 of the family's 1533-position model. The record is from RNAcentral.
GAUUGUAGUCUGCAACCCGACUACAUGAAGCCGGAAUCGCUAGUAAUCGCGGAUCAGAAUGCCGCGGUGAAUACGUUCCCGGGUCUUGUACACACCGCCCGUCACACCAUGGGAGUCGGAAAUGCCCGAAGUCAGUGGCCCAACCGGAAGGAGGGAGCUGCCGAAGGCAGGUUCGAUGACUGGGGUGAAGUCGUAACAAGGUACC